Molecule: long non-coding RNA, 542 nt
Organism: Marmota monax (woodchuck)
Lineage: Eukaryota; Metazoa; Chordata; Mammalia; Rodentia; Sciuridae
Exons: 3
Source: RefSeq, a predicted model, not a curated record
UUCACAUGUUAGGAUUUGGUGUCCAGGUCUCUGAAUCCCCCUGUUCUUGAGGCCCUUUGUUCAGGUCCUGUCUGGGGAGAAGAGGCCUAGGAUUGAUUCCAGGACUUACCUGUAAGAGCGGGGAACUGCGGCAAGCCAAGCCAGGAGUUUCAGUGAGAUGGUUCCAGUGGGAGUUCAUGGCAGGAAGCCAAACAAGCUAAGGGGCACAGCAAUGGCAGCACCCAGACCAUCUAGCCCAGACCCAAGACUGGGUACUCUUGUUAGGGUGAGAGGUCAGCAAGGACCUGGAAACAAACUCCAUGUGAGAGACCAGGAAGCUACGGUGAAUAUGCUAAAUCAAAACAAAAGAAUGAACCAAGAAAACAAAACAAAAAAAGAAUUAAAGCAGCAAAAGAUUCAGUGUGGGAAGAAGUCAACCCAAGAACAGGCUAUCAGCUGUACCUUGGGCCCAGAGACACGGCUACAGAAGAGAACAGCACAGAGGGCUUGAAAGGGACAGGCAACCAACCGGGCUCACAAUGUUUUUGAGUCUGGAGAAAAUA